GACAGAGGGUGCAAACGUUGCUCGGAAUCACUGGGCGUAAAGGGUGCGUAGGCGGGUCUUUAAGUCAGGGGUGAAAUCCUGGAGCUCAACUCCAGAACUGCCUUUGAUACUGAAGAUCUUGAGUUCGGGAGAGGUGAGUGGAACUGCGAGUGUAGAGGUGAAAUUCGUAGAUAUUCGCAAGAACACCAGUGGCGAAGGCGGCUCACUGGCCCGAUACUGACGCUGAGGCACGAAAGCGUGGGGAGCAAACAGG
Molecule: ribosomal RNA, 253 nt
Filed under: uncultured bacterium
Lineage: Bacteria
Description: partial 16S ribosomal RNA
Rfam family: Bacterial small subunit ribosomal RNA
Source: RNAcentral